RNAcentral lists this long non-coding RNA (1672 nucleotides) under Pan troglodytes (chimpanzee). RNAcentral's name for it is "long non-coding RNA NONPTRT005438". Lineage: Eukaryota; Metazoa; Chordata; Mammalia; Primates; Hominidae. The record is from RNAcentral.
GGCCUGGCUUUCUCCAUCUGCAAAGCAGGGAUGGUGUCUGCCUCAUUUAGAGGCUGGGGAGUGGGCAAGAUAAAAGGGUGGUUGAAGGGGCUUCAGCAUGAGCCUGGUGGUGUGUGAUGGAACAGACACCCAGCUGCCAAGGGGCAAAUACAUCCAUACCCCUGCCCCACCUUCUAGGCCCAGUAAAGUAGUAAAAUAGUAAAGCCACCAAUUGUCCCCACCUGUGUCUAGCUGCACAUCAAGGAAAUGUGUCUGGUCCAGGCAUUGUGACCUGUAAGGGACUCCACCCCGCCCUGCCACAGAGCAGUGGGUGGGGAACCCGGACCUACAUGGAGGCGCCUCCCCAGGAUGGACAUGGCACCCACAUUGGCACCCUCUGGUUUUGUCCCCACAGGAGUCCUGCCUCCCAGCACCCCUCUGUCAUGGUGAUCAAGACGGCUAGGGGGCAGGGAAGGCAAGAAGAGGGAGAAGACUCUGCUGUGACUCAUAGCAAAGUGAGAGCUUCUUCCCUCCUCUCUGCACCCCAAAUACGAUGAGGAGACUGAGUCCCAAGAUCACCCAGAUACAAUAAUAAUUGUAGUAUUAACAUACAAGUUACCAUUGAAGGAGCACCGGCUGCGUUCCAGGCACUGUGCUAGACACUUCACAUGCAGUGAACCUGUGAGGCAGAUCCAUGACUGGCAACAUUGCACAGAGGGGAAAACUGAGGCUCAAAGAAGGCUGCAUUAGAACUAAGCAAGCUAUUGAUACCACACUGACCUAAAAAUAGCAAAUGGCGAAGUCACUGGCCUACGAGGCUGGAGAAUCUUAACACCAGGUGGCCCAGGGCAUACCCAGAGCUUCUGGCAACCGAAAUCUGGAAAAAGUGGUAACAGUUCCAUCUGGUCAAAUGACAAAAGCCUAAAUUUGUAUCAAGUAGUGGCUGAUAACAGUCAAUUUCUACCUAGAAGGCACUACGUUGGAUCUAGGUGUUCAGGGUUCUUUAAGUCAUGCUCUGAAUGAAUAAGCAAUGAUUCCAAAGUAUGUGAAGCUAGCCUCACAGUUUGAAGUCCUUGAAAUCACAUUUUCCAAACAGCUUCAAAUGAAGAACAAGCUCAUACAAACUCAAGAGUGCUUGAUCGAUGAGCAACUCCAGCAAGUGAAGACAUCACAGUCUGGGGCAGUGCACGGCUGACCCCUUUACCUGUUGAACUAGCUGCUUUGGCCCUUGUUUCAAGGGAAAAGGGCUCUAGAGGAAUUGGGGGUUUGGUCCUCUUAAGGUCUGAGGUCUUUGGGUCUCUGGGUUUGGUCAGGCCCUUAGGGACUGUGGGCUUAGGCUGAGCAAGGGUAGCCUUGGGACAUGUCUCAAACUCUGGUGAAGUCAAGAAAGGCCACAGAGUGGAAAAUCCAGAAUCUACAUCCCAUUCGUGCCAGAGCCCUGUUCCAUCCACUCUCUGAGCAGAUGUCCCCCUACGAAGGCCCAAGGGACUCCUGAAAAGCAGGCAUGAAUAGACCACAGAGUUAAACAGUGCAAGGGCAUGCUGUGGACCCACCCACUUUGGGUAAAUCUUUUGACUUCUCUGUGAAUCAGAAAAUCAAUGGGAUAGACUAUGCCUCACAGGGCCACCCUAGGGAUCGAAUAAGAUGACGGAUACCAAAGUGCUUCAUUAACAAUAAAGUGCCAAAAAGAGUU